Molecule: long non-coding RNA, 1635 nt
Filed under: Olea europaea (common olive)
Lineage: Eukaryota; Viridiplantae; Streptophyta; Magnoliopsida; Lamiales; Oleaceae
Description: long non-coding RNA (OEUR_LNC002756)
Source: RNAcentral
CAAAAUCUUUAUUAUAUGGACGCUAUAUAUAUAAUUGAAAAUGAAGUUUUCACUUUCUAUAUAUUAGUCAAAUGGAGGCUUAUUCCUUCCAAAACGAGAAUUAAACUACUCAUAGAAAUAUGAGAUUCCAAUUCAUAAUUUUGUCAUCACUCAAUUAUUUUCAAAUGAGUUCAUUCAACUAACGAUGGUAAUACAGAAUAUAAGAUUACUUGUUAGAAUGGCUUUUGUUUCGUUUGAAAAAAAGAGGCUUUAUUCAAAUAGAAAAGCGACAGAAUUUUCCCUUUUUCUAUUCCAUACUAGUUGUUUUCAAAAGUAAGCUUGAAAAAUUGUAUUUUAUUUGAGUUUUUAUUGAAUUGCAUGAACUUUUACACAAGUGGGCUUUGACAAACGAACAGCGCCAUGACAGGCCCUUAGCGCAACCAAUAGGGGGGUGCCGUCAAACAGGAGCCAUGAUAGACCCUUGGCGCAACCAAUAGGGGGACGACAUAUCAGCACCCUGUCACGGCCCUGUCAACGUAGCAAAGCCCUACACAAGUUCAUACACAUAAUGACAUGUUCGCUAACAAACAAAAAUAUAGAAAUUUCCCCUUAAUUUAAAAUUCCGCAAAAUAUGUAGAUGUUCUAUGUCCAAUAAAUAUUAUGUAUGUUCAAGUGCCUAAUAUCUUUAAAGUAUUAACAUAGAAAAUUUGAAAUUUAAUAUGUCUUCAAUUGUUAAAAAUUAUAGUCUUAACCACUAACAACACCACGUGAGCAAUGAGCAAGAUAACUCCAACCCACUAUGGACAUCAUUUCUAUUAAUUUGUCCAUGUCCAUAAGAUAACUUCAAAAAGAUUCUUCCGUCCUAAAUAGAAUUUGUUAAACUAAGAAAACGAAAGUACAUAUUUUCCUUUUUCUUUCAAAGAUUCUUACAUCCUAAAUAAAGUUGUAAUAUUAAGAAGCCGAAAAUUGUGGGUGAAGUAUGGUUGAGAUCAAUGAGAUGGUGGAUUCAGGGAGCUGUGGCAAUGUCAAAUAUGGGUAUUUUUGAGGUAGAAAUGAGCUGUGAUUCUUUCAUCUACUUGGUAUGGCUGAAAGAGGGAUGCUUCCCGAGUUUUUCGUUGAAAAGUUGGGAUACUGUUCUUAGCUUCUGGUGUUGUUGGGAUACUGUUCUUAGCUUCUGGUGUUGUUUUGCUUUCAUGGCUGAGUUUUCAAGAGAUGGUAGCUGCAGAGUACUUCUUGUAUUGCUUUGGAAUGAUAUUAGAAUUUAUAGCGUUCGUGCAGCUAACAAUAUCAUCUUCACUUUGAAAUGAGACUGUGUAAAUCUUGGGCGUUUAUUUUUCUCUCUUUGAAUUGAUUACUAUCGGUGGAAUGAAAUUAAGGUUUAAAAUUCUCAACCAUCUUGAGCAUAUUGAGAAGAAGAAAUGGCUUACAUUUUCCACAAGUUCUGAUCUUCCGGAUAUUCAUGCUGCUACUCAUAAGAACGAUUCCUCAAUUGACUGAUAAAGUUGCCAAUGCAAGCAAGUUGAUUCUUGUGUAGUGCAAAGAAAAUCGCAUUGUUGGUGAAAGUUGGUCGAGGAUGCAAAGUUUCUUUUCAAUUUUUAACUACCGUGCCUUCCUUGUACGUCUUUUCAUUGGAUCUCUUCGAUAUAACAACGUAAC